UAGGAUAUUAAUUAAUUGGGUAGUAACGAAAUAUCUGAAACCCAAAGGAUUUGGCGGUGUCUCAUACAAUUGGGGGAAUCUGUCACAUAAACUGAUAGUCCACAUCAUAUCUUACCUCACUUUCUACUUGCACAUCGCCAUUUUAAGAGCAUGCUCAAAGGGAUACUCUAACUCGAUUUCAUCCCAAAAAUUAGGUCGUCAUACAGUAAUAGUGAGGUCGUGAUGGAUUACAAUAUCAAUUAGAUACAACGAAUGGUCUAAAGAAAUUAGUCCUGAAGGUGGAUUCAAAAGUAAUAUAGGAGUAAAGUGCUUAUAUGGAUAGUCACCUGAGACAUGU
Molecule: ribosomal RNA, 337 nt
Filed under: Diplocentrus whitei
Lineage: Eukaryota; Metazoa; Arthropoda; Arachnida; Scorpiones; Diplocentridae
Description: partial 12S ribosomal RNA
Rfam family: Bacterial small subunit ribosomal RNA
Source: RNAcentral